AUGAAACGUGAGUCGUUGACUCCCAGUGGGAGUGAUGGCAGAAAAAGAAAGGUUUGUUCGUACACAAAGGAGUUAGAGAAGAUGGUAAAAUUGCGAAAGGAAAUUUUAGCGCUAAGGGCUGCUCAGGCUAUUGUGGAUGCCCGACUUUUCAGCAUAGAGCACCCCCAUCAAGUUAUUUCAAGCAUUCCUUUUGAAGAAAAAGAGUUUGGUGAUUCAGGCUCUCUUGAUAAAGCAUUUCAAGCAAUCGGGAGCACCAAGGACAUAGCUCCAGAUUUGUCUACCAUUGUUGUCUCUCUGGCUUUGUUUGAUGAGGAUAGAAUGUUAUUUGCAUGCUCAGGCGUAGCUCUACCACCUGGGACAACUUCCCUAGAGCUAACAAGAUUUGUGACUUCAAGACGUUUGGUUGAGGAAUUUGAGAAGUACAGAAAUGUUGAUGAUAAAUUGAGGAUUGAGGUGUGCCUUCCAGAUUGUACACAUAACGAUGGGUUCUUGGGACUAUAUGAUGAUAAUAUUGCUAUUGUCACGUCCUUCAAUGAAUGCCCGCAUGCUGUCUGUCCUGUAGAUCUAGACCUCGAGGCACCUCCUCUUGAUACUAAGGCAAUAGUAGCUGCUCGUGCUUUCAAAUCGGGCCGUUUGAUGAUCACGUCUGGGCGUCUGACUGGAGACGGCCGUGCACACUGGAAGCAAAUCUCAGAGGCUGCAGUUGGAGGGCCAGUUGUCGAUCAUAAUGGGAAGCUUCUUGGGGUGAACCUUCGUAUCGAGGACCCUCGUCCCUGGUUCAUACCACUGAAGGACCUUCAUGGGCGCUUGAAGCAUUUUCAGAUACUCAAUACUAAUACAAAGGACUUCCAUGGAUAUUCCUUGCCUGAAGGUGUAUCAAGCAUAAUCCCUUCAGGAUUCUGGAGGAGAAUUAAGUGGAUAGAAUCCGUUGGCUAUCCCAUCCCGCCACCACUUGUGCUUGAAUUCAAUGGGGAACUGCUCGAGACAUUUGAGGAUGAAUUUGGUGAAUUGCGUGCAUGGAAAGAGUAUCCUUACCCUGUUUCAAACCCUGGUUCUACAGAGCAUGUUUGGGCACUACUUCCAAAAGAUGUUGUUACAAACAUAUCCCUAAGUGUUGUCAGACUUGCUUCAUUCGAUGGAAGUGUGAGGUGUUUUGCAUGCACGGGCUUGCUUAUAAAGUGGCCUGGAACUAAAGGCAUGCGCCCUGUCAUUCUCACUUCGGCCAGUUUGGUUAGAAGUUGUGGUGAUCACUUCAAGAUUGAUAAAAACUUAAGGAUUGACGUGUUUCUCCCACCGAGGCAACAUGCCAAGGGGACAUUGGUAUUCUACCAUUUAAAUACCAAUAUUGCCAUCAUCAGGCUUGAGCAGGCUAUCCGUGGCAUUCAUCCAGUUGAUAUUUGCUCUGAAGAGGAUUUAUAUAAACCGGUAGUUGCUGUAGCGCGUCAAAUUGAAGAAGGAUUUUUAAUGGCCUCAAAGGGCAAAGUGUGUCUUGACAAGUCGAGCCUGAUUGAUUCCAUGUUUCCAGUGUCCACUUGUAAAAUCAGUAAGGUAUUGUGA
This 1557-nucleotide ribosomal RNA is filed under the name Triticum aestivum (bread wheat). Its description in RNAcentral is "partial small subunit ribosomal RNA". The record is from RNAcentral. Lineage: Eukaryota; Viridiplantae; Streptophyta; Magnoliopsida; Poales; Poaceae.